UACGUAGGGAGCGAGCGUUGUCCGGAAUUACUGGGUGUAAAGGGUGCGUAGGCGGGGGACCAAGUCAGGUGUGAAAACUAUCGGCUCAACCGAUAGCCUGCAUUUGAAACUGGUUCUCUUGAGUGAAGUAGAGGCAGGCGGAAUUCCCGGUGUAGCGGUGAAAUGCGUAGAGAUCGGGAGGAACACCAGUGGCGAAGGCGGUCUGCUGGGCUUUAACUGACGCUGAGGCACGAAAGCAUGGGUAGCAAACAGGAUUAGAUACCCUGGUAGUCCAUGCCGUAAACGAUGAUUACUAGGUGUGGGUGGUCUGACCCCAUCCGUGCCGGAGUUAACACAAUAAGUAAUCCACCUGGGGAGUACGGCCGCAAGGUUGAA
RNAcentral lists this ribosomal RNA (375 nucleotides) under uncultured bacterium. RNAcentral describes it as "bacterial SSU rRNA". It matches the Rfam family "Bacterial small subunit ribosomal RNA", at positions 524 to 898 of the family's 1533-position model. The record is from RNAcentral.